Long non-coding RNA from Mirounga angustirostris (Northern elephant seal), 2591 nucleotides. RefSeq lists it as uncharacterized. The transcript is spliced from 7 exons. NCBI's taxonomy places the organism in Eukaryota, Metazoa, Chordata, Mammalia, Carnivora, Phocidae. The record is from RefSeq and is a predicted model, not a curated record.
CUAAGCUGCGGUGUGCGCAUGCGUGCCUCCACUGCUGUGGUCCGGAGUCCUAAACACGCCGCGGUCCUGGCCAGCCAGAGGCCGCGCUUCAGUAGCGAAGGGCGGAUGUGGAACCGGGAAUGCCUGGGAGUACCAGAUGCUCGCAAUUAGGGAUAUGCAAGCUAGGGCAAAACCACAGGCAAGUCCAGAGAACAAAGUCCUCCUUGGUCUAUAACAGGAAUGCCCCUUACUCAAAUAGCCCAUGGAUACGGCCAUGGGUCAAGACAUCCUGCUUCACGAAGAAGACUUGUUUGUCAUUCCCAACACAGAUUUGGACCACAUGACCCUUCUAUUCUUCACCCAGAGCCUUAGCAGCAACUUCUGUGACUACACACUUUUCAUAAAAGCUGGCAUCUCAGGAUUCUGCCCUUUUCAGGGAGAGACAUUUAGACAAAGAGGAAUGGCUGCUUCAGCCCUGACAGAGCAUCAAGGUAAUACAUGUAAAGCACCCAGAACAGAAAGUGUUGUUUCGAUCAUCAUUACCAGGGACCAUUUGGAGGAGUGGAUGUUGGAGACAUUGCAACAGAAUCUCCCACACCUUUAAGAACCAGUAAUGCUCAUAUAAAGGUAUGGCUGGACACGCUGCUCUGUUUUGAUGUUUUACAAAGGGAAUGGAUAAGAGUUUAGGCAGCAGAGUUUAGGCUUUUUUGUUGCUGUUGGUUUGUUUGUUUUGUUCCCUUCUUGUCCUCAGCUCUGCAUCCACAGGACUCUGCUCUUCAAGAGAGGGGCUCUGCGAAGGGGAGGAUAACCACUGGACUUCUAGAAGGCACAUCACUGCGAUCAGUAACAUUCCAAGAUGUGGCCAUCGACUUCUCCCAAGAAGAAUGGGGAUUCCUGAACCCUGCUCAGAGAAAACUGUCCAUGGCUGUGAUGUCGGAAAAUUAUCAGAACCUGGCCUGGCUAGAGAGUGAGUCAAUAUGGGAGAGCAAGGAAUUAUCUCUAAGGAAGAGUAUAAAAGAGGAAACAUUCCAACAUGAAAUAGUGAUGAAAAGAGCAAGCAGCAUAUGUAGAGAAUAUGCAAAAACUUCCUGCAGCAAUAACGCACCUUUUCAUCCAUCAGAAAAUUCUUAAGGAGGAGUGCUGCCGGUGCCGUGAGUGUGGGAAAUGCUUUAGUCGUCGAUCAACUCUUGUUCAACAUCAGAAUCCACACAGGAGACAGACCCUAUAAGUGUAAUGAAUGUUGUAAAGCUUUCAAUCAGAGGGCACAUCUUAACCAGCAGGAGAGAAUUCACACAGAGAGCACAAGGAGGGGGAGAGGCAGAGGCAGAGGGAGAAGCAGACUCCCCGCCGAGCAGGGAGCCCGACAUGGGGCUCGAUCCCAGGACCCUGGAAUCAUGACCCAAGCCAAAGGCAGCCGCUUAACCGACUGAGCCACCCAGGCGCCCCACGAGGCUCAUUUUUUAAAAUUUAAAUUCAAUUAGCCAACAAAUAAUACAUCAUUGUUUCAGAUGUAGAGUUCAGUAAUUCAUCAGUUGCCUAUAACACCCAGUGCUCGUCGCAUCACGUGACCUCCUUAAUGCCCAUCAACUCAGUUACCCCAUCUGCCCACCCACCUCCCCUCCAGCAACCCUCAGUUUGUUUCCUAUUGCUAAGGGUCUCUCAUGGUUUGUCUCCCUCUCUGAUGAGUUCCCAUUCAGAUUUCCCUCCCUUCCUCUAUGAUCCUCUGCACUGUUUCUUAUAUUCCACAUAUGAGUGAAACCAUAUGAUAAUUAUCUUUCCCUGACUGACUUAUUUUGCUCAGCAUAAUUACCCUCCAGUUCUAUCCACGUCGAUGUAAAUGGUAAGUAUUCAUCAUUUUUGAUGGCUGAGUAAUAUUCCAUUGUGUGUGUGUGUGUGUGUGUGUGUGUAUACAUAUAUGUAUUUCAUCUUCUUUAUCCAUUCAUCUGUUGAUGGACAUCUAGCCUCUUUCCACAGUUUGGCUAUUGUGGACAUUGCUGUUAUAAACAUUGGGGUGCAGGUGCCCCUUCGGAUCAUUACAUUUGUAUCUUUGGGGUAAAUACCUAGUAGUACAAUUGCUGGGUCAUAGGGUAGCUCUAUUUUUAGCCAGAGGAAUGUUGAAAAAGAAAACCAAAGCUGGUGGCGUCACAAUGCCAGACCUCAAACUAUAUUACAGAUCUGCAGUCAUCAAGAUAGUAUGGUACUGACACAAAAACAGACACAUAGAUCAAUAUAAUUCUAUUUGUCCUUUUUAAAUUUCAAUUUCUGAUCGUUCAUUGCUAUUAUAACAUACCAUGGAUGUUUGUAUAUUCCAGCUGUAUUUUGCAAUUAUACUAAACUCAGUUGGUCUAGUUUGUUUUGUUUUUGGUACAUUGGCUGGGUUGUUCAACCAAAGAUGACCCUGUCUUCUUCAAAUAAAGGCAAUUUUACUUUUUCUUUCCCAUCUUGGUGUCUUAUUUAUUUUUCCUAGCCUUAUUGUACUGGCUGAAACCUCUGGUACAAGAGUAAGUAGAAGUGAGGGCAGACAUCCUUACUUUAUUCCUGAUUUUAGGGAAAAAGCAUCCAGUUAUUUUUUUUUAUCAUUAUGUAUCAAAUUAGCCGGUUUUGAAAAUAGU